CCUACGGGUGGCAGCAGUGAGGAAUAUUGGUCAAUGGGCGGAAGCCUGAACCAGCCAAGUAGCGCGCGGGAUGAAGGCCCUACGGGUCGUAAACCGCUUUUGCACGGGGAUAACACCCUCCACUUGUGGAGGUCUGCAGGUACCGUGCGAAUAAGCAUCGGCUAACUCCGUGCCAGCAGCCGCGGUAAUACGGGGGAUGCAAGCGUUAUCCGGAUUUAUUGGGUUUAAAGGGUGCGUAGGCUGUGAGGUAAGUCAGCGGUGAAAUACCCCCGCUCAACGGGGUGAAGUGCCAUUGAUACGGGCUUGCUAGAAUGCGGAUGCCGUGGGAGGAAUGUGUGGUGUAGCGGUGAAAUGCAUAGAUAUCACACAGAACACCGAUUGCGAAGGCAGCUAACGAAUCCGCGAUUGACGCGGAUGCACGAAAGCGUGGGUAUCAAACAGGAGUAGAUACCCCUGUAGUC
This 461-nucleotide ribosomal RNA is filed under the name uncultured bacterium. Its description in RNAcentral is "partial 16S ribosomal RNA". It matches the Rfam family "Bacterial small subunit ribosomal RNA", at positions 338 to 795 of the family's 1533-position model. The record is from RNAcentral.